CUCAGGGAAGCAGAUGUCAGUAUCUCCUGCUGCUGGACAUAGCCACAUGACCCACUUCUGGAUGAUGAGAGGACCAUAACUAUAUAUUCUUCAUAUUGAAAAAUGCUUUGAGUGCACAGAAAAAAAAAGAUUAUGGGCACUGAGAAUCAUGUCAUCUGCCAUCUGCAAACUGGAGACCCAGGAAUGCCAGUGGUGUAAUUCCAGUCCCUGAGUCCAAAGGCCUGAGUACCAGCAUCAGUUCCUUUGACUUAGAGGCACAGAACUAGUGUGCUUUAAGAAACCGGAGAGAG
Long non-coding RNA from Hippopotamus amphibius kiboko, 290 nucleotides. RefSeq lists it as uncharacterized. The transcript is spliced from 3 exons. The record is from RefSeq and is a predicted model, not a curated record. NCBI's taxonomy places the organism in Eukaryota, Metazoa, Chordata, Mammalia, Artiodactyla, Hippopotamidae.